This 629-nucleotide ribosomal RNA is filed under the name Platerodrilini sp. UPOL 001382. RNAcentral's name for it is "eukaryotic LSU rRNA". It matches the Rfam family "Eukaryotic large subunit ribosomal RNA", at positions 670 to 1259 of the family's 3401-position model. The record is from RNAcentral. Lineage: Eukaryota; Metazoa; Arthropoda; Insecta; Coleoptera; Lycidae.
GGAGUCUAGCAUGUGCGCGAGUCAUUGGGACUAGCGAAACCUAAAGGCGAAAUGAAAGUGAAAGUCGGCCUCGCGCCGACCCAGGGAGGAUGGGUCGCGUCAAGACGCGUCACCCCGCACUCCCGGGGCGUCUCGUUCUCAUUGCGAGAAGAGGCGCACCAAGAGCGUACACGCUGGGACCCGAAAGAUGGUGAACUAUGCCUGGUCAGGACGAAGUCAGGGGAAACCCUGAUGGAGGUCCGAAGCGAUUCUGACGUGCAAAUCGAUCGUCGGAACUGGGUAUAGGGGCGAAAGACUAAUCGAACCAUCUAGUAGCUGGUUCCCUCCGAAGUUUCCCUCAGGAUAGCUGGCGCUCGCUUUUGCGAGUCUCAUCUGGUAAAGCGAAUGAUUAGAGGCAUUGGGGUCGAAACGGCCUCAACCUAUUCUCAAACUUUAAAUGGGUGAGAUCUCCGGCUUGCUUAAAUUGUGAAGCCGCGAGAUCGGAUCAGAGUGCCAAGUGGGCCAUUUUUGGUAAGCAGAACUGGCGCUGUGGGAUGAACCAAACGCAGAGUUAAAGCUCCAAAAUCAACGCUUAUGGGAUACCAUGAAAGGCGUUGGUAACUUAAGACAGCAGGACGGUGGCCAUGGAA